CCCCCCCUCAGACACAAUAAAUAAAUAAAAAUCACCUUAAGAUGUCUUCUUACUGUAAUUUCAUUUGUUUUUCAUAAACUUCAUCUCUUAGACUGAGAUCACACUGAGACAACUCGGCAUUUGAAAAAGAGCCUAGAAGAAGAGGGGGGGGGACGUGGGGGAGGGACAUGAGGGAGGAAACCUGCUCUCAUUGGUCCCAUCUGCCCAGGGUCACCUGUCACUCACAAAGUUUAGUUCUCUCUAGACUUGAAGGGCGAACCCUUUGGUCGUGGUCUGGGAAUUGUAGUCAUUAGCAAAACGAAAGAAAAAUGAGCAGAAGGCCGCCACCAGGGUUAGAAACCGAGUGAGUGAUGUACAAAAAAACACAAUAACCAUAAUACUAAAUCUCUUUGCGAAAGGUGAUAUGACAUGACACUGAAAAAUAAAUAGAUUUUUCUUUCAAGCUAAAUUAAAGUACAACUGGAUUAUAAAUUAACCAGAAAACAAAACUCACAUUCGCAAAUUCAUUUUUUUUUUUGCAUACAGUGACUCAAGUCGACGACCUCGAUCAUUUCCUGUAACAAUGACACACGUAACACACACCGCCGUGUGUCAGAGAGACAGCGUGUGUGUGUGUGUGUGUGUGUGUGUGUGUGUACACGCUUCAAAUAUUUACGUUGUUAAUGUUUAUGCUAGACAGCGUGAUUAAUUCCAGGCACACCAAGGCUUACAGAUGUUGUUUGGCAUAAAUGUUUUAUGAAUAUAUUAUGACUACUAUACACAAGAUCAUCCGAGAUAUGAAACCUCUUCACUGAGCUUUACGAGUGUUUACUCAUUUUCCCUUCAAAAGAACCAUUUCCGUCCCCAGUGAACAGAAGAGGCCACAGGGACAGAAGGUAAUGAUUCUAUUCUUUCUCUUAGUACGGCGAUGGUGCUGAAUGGAGCCACAUGCAGAUCAAAGAAGAAAACAGGAAAGAACCACCAACAAAACAAAUAUUUACUAAUCAGUUAAUAUGCAACAGUCACUUUUUUUUAAAUGAACAGUAUUGAUCAUCACAAACCCAAACUAGAAUCCAAAGAGUCAAUAUGCAACCUUUCUUUCUGAGCGUUACCUGCCAGCAGCCUUGUCCAGCAGGUCGGUCCAUCUCUCUGCCAGACUGUGCAGCUGGGUCCCGAUCUUCUCUCGGUCUGCAGUGUCGGCCGUGGCUGCGAUCCGCUCUCCCUCGGCGCGGAUCAUCUCAACCGUCGGCCGGCGGUCAUCCAGCAGCCUCUGGAGCAGCUGGAGAGAGAGAGAGAGAGAGAGAGCGGCUGUUACAGUAGAGCGAUGGAGUCUGUCUGUCUGUCCGUCCGUCCGUCUCAUAUCCGGAGAGGCGUCCGUCCGAUCUUCUUCACACUCGCCGGGUGUUUUGCUGGCGACCCUGAUGACGUGCACUGAUGGAAUACUGCAGAAAUAUUAAGUAUAUCUAAAUAAGAAAGCAAAAACAUAGCUGUGUGGAGUAGUGGGCGGGACAUCUGGGCUCUGCAGACUUAAGCGAGCACUAUUAUAGAAUUAAACCUUUAGAAGCAUUGCUAACGGUCUUUACUUUGGAUGGACAGAUGUGAUCAACUAGUAACUGUCGCCAAAUGGCAGAUAUUGGCUGAUAUCUCUUUGAGCUGCUGGACAUUUCAUUAGGGUAUAUGCUGCUUCUUAAAGAGGUGCGGACAGAACACAUCGCUUCAGUUAACUAGUGAUCCAACUGUUCUUGGAUCCGAAAACAACAUUUGUCAACUAGUUUCCUUCCUCGUCUCCUUUGAACCAGCAGCUCUGUGGAAUGCACCCCUCGCCACAGUUCUCGGCCCAGCAGGGACACCGAUCUCCGUCACGGAUGUUAACGCACCUGAUUGAUCGCUGGUCGAGGUUGCAGCACACUCGCGUGCACAAACACAGGAAGUGUAUGUUGAGUAAACAGAGGAAAAAGUGUGUGUGUGUGAGAAAUAAAGGGAAAGUCUGGAUUCUAUUUCAGUUAGCUUGCCUACAGUAAACAGCGGUUCUACUUCUACUGAUAUUUUUAAAAGUGUAAAAAACAUCCACAGCGGUUUGCUGCUCGGCCCCGGUGCUGCUACUCCUUUCUGUUUUCCCCUAACUGGCUUUCUACUGUAGAUAAUAUAUUGACGAUGGAAUUGAACUUCAAAUAAUGCUAACUGUGACUUUAAAACGCAAAGGCACUUCAUGUAAAACUCUUCUUAUCAAACUGUAUAUUUAAGAACCUAAAAUCAUUUGUAAAAUCAAAGGUCACUCAUUCAUCUUCUCGUACUUUUUGUUCUUGGAUCUGGGCCUUGACCACGCGGUACUCUGCUGACGGGGGCUUCUGAUUGGCCACCAGCUCCUCCGUGUCGCUCAGCCAGCUCAGCAGCGGCUCCAGAGCAUCCUGGAACUUCCCACAGUGCAACAGGGCCUCCUGCAGCUGGGCGAUGCGCUCGGCCACCUAAAGACAGGAGAGGCGGCUUUGUGAGUGGAGAACAGGAAGUCCACGCGACGCUACGCCCCAGUCUGUGCGCGGACGUACCCGCUUGUUGAGCGAGUUCCAUCGGAGGUUGGUGGUUUCCAGGUCAUGCUCCAGGGCCUGGGUGUCCGUGUGCUUGGCGGCGCUCUGGAUCAGGCCCUGACCCACUGCGUUGAUGUGCUGCAGCUUCGGCUGGAUGCCGUCCACCUGCUCUCUCUCCACCGCCUGCAAGAGAAAGGGCCGCCAUUCAUGGAGUUAUUCAAAAGACACAAACCCCCCCCCCCAAGAAACGCAGUAGUGAGCUUUACCACAUUAUGCUCCUAUAUAGUAGAGUGACUGAAUAAGACAGAGUGCAGAGAAAGAGCAGAGAGGGGGGGGACAGGAAGGGAAGAGGAGGGAUGAGGGUGGAGGGAGGAAGAACAAAGUGGCGGAGGGGAGGGGGAGAGGAGGAUCAUGGGGAUUAGAGAGUGGGGGGCUGACUGGGAAAGGCUGAGUCGACAACACACACACACACACACACACACACACACACACACACACACACACACACACAUACACACGCGGCCGAGUACGCGAACACACUUGCAUGGCUGCACACAAAGGCCAACACUCGCAUUUAUGGCAGCUACACGGCGAGCGCGCCUGUCUGGACGCAUUACUCGCACACGGCGGCGGGCUGGAGCCAUCUUGUGAUGACAAUAGACGCAGCCACCCGACACUAAAGACGACCAGACUUGACUUCCCGGGCCCCGAAAAAGACGAAGCAGCAGCAGAUACGCUUUCACAGCAAAUCUGGGCCACUAUCGCAUCUAAAUACACAUAGUAGUGAGUGGGAAUACUCGCCUGUAUAUUCCAAUGGCCUUUUUGGCUGUGUGUGUGUGUGUGUGUGUGUGUGUGGGGGGGGGGGGGGGAAUUUCUGUUUUUGUGUGGACAAAAACAGCAAUUUUCACCAAACUGGCGACUUGAGAUAUCGUUAGCCGUACACUUAGAAAAAGUUUCAGCAGAUUCCUGAGCUAUAAAGUGUUCUGAUUUGUCGAUGUUUUCUGAAAAUAGGAAAACAGUCCGGUGAAAAUCUACCAUCAAACAGCUGAGGCAAAGAUGAGAGAAAGAACAUUCGACUCUGCUAAACUCCUGUAAACCGCCAUCCAACAAAAGAACUCACGUAAUUCCAUCAGCUCCUCACCAUGAGGAACACUGUAAACCAACUUGGGCGUAAUACUGGGGGGGGGGGGGGGGCGUCCCUGUCAUGAAAACGUUUAAAAAGUCCUGACAUUCACAAAAGGUCCACAGAGGGAGAAUUAGGCCUGAUGGCCACACAAAAACAAACACACACACACACACAGUGAGAUUUGCACAACCACACACACACACACCAAAUUUAGGUAAAUCCCACACGUGGGGAAAAUAGCUGGUGUGACAAUACUGCAGUUAAAAAGAGGUAAAAUGUAGGUUUGAGUUUCAGUGAAAUGCCGCUAUGGCCUGGAAGAAGCGUCCACAGUACUGCUGAAACAAAUAACAAUAGAAGAAGCUAAAUAAACAGCAUUAAAGUAUUGAAAAAGGGUGGACACAGUCCAUCUUUGAGGUUUUAAGUACGGAAUGUGAACGUUUUUGCAUUUAAUCAAGUUUUAAUCAUUUACCCAGAAUUCACUACACAUCCUGCUGCGUGAAGCUUUUAAAUUCUUGCAUUUGAGAUUGUGCAGGUGAGGGUGUUUGUUUGGUCAUAGUCAAAGAGUUUAAGGCUUUUCUGGUUCAAACAUCCUUUCCAAGGCUUUGUGUGAGUGUGUGCACUAGUUCCUAAUCCGUGCAUGUGUGUCUAAAACAGACAGGUAGAAAUCUGAUAAAGUUCUGUCCAGUUUGGACGCAGCUGUGUCGUGUGAUGGGCGUCGUAAACACUUGGAACAGGAAGUCUGUCGGCCAAAACAAUGACUGUAGCCAUGACCCGCUCCACCCUGCUACGCCUUCUCCUGGUGUGUGUGUGUCAGUCAGAGAUGGAAGAACAAAACAAGAGAAACACAUCCAUUCCUCAUCUAAUCAUACACAUGGAUGUAUAUGAACUUGUUUUGGGCAGCAUGUGCGUGUCCUCUUCUUCUGCCACCCUUCGUGUUCGCUCUCCCCCUGCUUAUCUUCUCUCUCUCUUUCCAGCAGUUGACUCCACUAAAACAUCUGUAAAACCUCCCAAAUACUUGUCAUUCUUCCCCACCUCAGCCCGACUGAGCUCGCUCAGCGCCGCACUUGUCAUUCUUCUGUCCAUAAACUCCUCCAAAUCAUAUUGGGCCCAUAUAGUUCUAUUUGAUUUAUGAUUUGCAUUACCAAAGUCAUACACUUACAUGCAUGCAUUUUUCUAGACCUAUAAUGGCCUGAAAGCUGUUGCAAAACGAAAGAGGUUGAACUGGUUAAUUGAUCAUUCGAUGGAGAGACAUUUCAUUUAUUCAUUUAGAUCAUUGAUUGGAAUUCCUGCUUGAAAAAUGACAUGAAAGCUGUGGUUGAAGGUGCCUCUAGGAGUCGAUGCUUUAUGAGUGUGGCCUGACUGCAUGUCCGCUGCACAUGAACAUGCAAGUGGAUGCUCUAUAUUUAGCCGUCAUCUGUCGAGCCAAUAACGCCGAGGAGAGGAAUGGUGGUGUUGAUGACGCACGCCAAAACAUCCCCCAAGGACAAUCCGCUUCUUAACCCGGACAGAUGAGGAAACAAGUCUCUCAGAAAACACCAAAACGAAAGGCAGCACAAGGAAGACCACGCGUGCAUGCAGUGGAUCCUCUAACAGAUUUGGAGCGCGCUGGAUGUUGCACAGAGUUUUCCAAACUUGCUGUCAAAGCUUCAAAGUAGUUCUCUGAACCUCUUUCAUCCGCCUCUCCCUUCACAGCUGAUCUCCAUAAAACGGGAUUUGUUGUAUAUGAGCAAUAAAUGACGGGACAAACAUCAAUGUGAAGCAUGUGUAACGCUGCUUUUCCUUCCCACCCCCUCACCUCCUUCCCUCUCUUCCGGCCUCAGCCGUCGCCGCUCUUCCUGUCUUUCAACUCCUCAUCCUCCCUCACUUGACUCCUUUCUCUUGCUAUGGAACAAGGAAUGAGGGGAGGAAGGUGGCAGGAAUCUGUUUUUCCAAACUGUAGUGGCUAACGGGGAGGCGGGGUAGUUUACUAGAGGACUGACCCUCCCAGUCACAGGAUAGAAAGGGGUUAAUGGCUCAUUCCAACUAACAAACGCAUACAAAUCUUAUGCAAAUGUUUUCCUUAGUCAAAGCAUGUUGGCUGGAGCCUCACGGCCUCCUCUCCUCCGUUUCCCUUCAUCCACUUCGUCCUGUUCUUCACACGUGUUUGUGCUGCCAGUGAGUCGACAAAGAGUGGAACACACAAGCGAAAAAUAUGCAAAAUCAUGAAAAAAGGUUUCAAUUUUUUUUUCCAUUUGAAGUGCAUCUGCAUUGAAUCAGAGUGGGGAUCAAUGCGUUUCCAUAUUUGCUUUCAUGCUUGUGUCUUCCCGAACACGCCCCCCGGCCCCCCCGGCCCCCUCUCCUUCUCUCCGCGGGUUCAAGCCGGGUGGCGGUUCCUCAGAACCAGAAUUAUCACAUCAAUCAAAACAUAAAUACAUGAGCGGCGAACUGCAGAUGUCCCUCAGCUAAGCCUUAUUUGCAAGGGACUAGUAUGUCCUUUAGAUUAGUUCUAAUAAUUGGCGAGGAUGUCUGAUUUUAAUCCUGAGACAAUCAGCCCAUAAUUACGUCACAAUCCAUAACAAGAUCCAAGAUAUCGGUCCAAGUCAUUUUGAGAUAUUACUAAGAUCCUUGACAUCAUAUCUGGGGGUUAUUUUGCUACAUUGUUCAAAUACCACAUGAAACAAACAAAUGACCUCCGUUAUAGGAACGCAGUGCACGGCAGAAAGAGCCCAUGACUGCGUUUGGACUGCGUACAAGCCGCAGUCUGAGUUGAUCCACGUGCACAUGGAACACAAAAUAUUAAACCAGUGCGCAGUUACAAGAGACAUUUGAAUCAAAUCCUGCGCAUUUGAUUGGAGCGCUGCGGAGGAGUGUGGCUGCAAACAGCGUGCCAGCUCGUCCAUCUGUCCGUCUGUCUGUGGAUGCCUUAAACCGGCUCCAUGUUAAUCCAAAGACCUUCUGCUAGCGUCCGCCUGCCAGCGCAGCUCCCUUAUCGUUGUACUAAAGCCUCACACAACACUAAAAGGUGCUUCCCUCCCACCCGCCCUGUGCAAACAAUGGCUUCCUCCAUCCAACCUGCGUGUCGCCCGUCACUCCUCUUUUUGUGUCUGCUCUCUCUCAUUCAGCGCGUCAGUCCGGCCUCCCUAGUUCCUGGUUUGCAUUAUGUUUUGCAUCAAAUUAUUGAUCGAAUGAGAAAUAUGGAAAGAUAAAGAACAGAGCUGAAGAGGACAAAUAAUUAUUGCAGAAAAGGAAAAUAAAUACGAGGAGGCAGACGGGCAGAGAUGUGAGGAAGAGUGAGACAGGUCAAUGAACAACAAACAGAGUGAGGAGUUCCAGACUAAAGUGCUGGCACAUUGUUAUCAGAUAUCAUAGUUUAUAUUCCCCAAACAGCCUUCACACUGUUUGUGUAGCCAUGUUGGCAAUGGCAGCUCCUCCUCAGUAUUUAGCCCUCACCUCCUUAUCUCGGCAACAACACCACCCAAGCAUGGCGGGGGAGAGGGGGGAGAAAGAGUCAGUCGAGGAGUACAGCAUUCGCUCCAGCAAUAUUUAGUAGAUAACUAUUUGAUGUUAGAGAACGUGUGAAUUAUUAUUAGUACUACGCGGAUAUAACUUCUAAAUCAAAGGUUUUCUUUGUUUGGGUGUUUUUCUUUGUCUGAUCUUGGAAACAGAAGUUAUUUCUGCAGUCAAUGGACCUUUUAAAACUCAAGUAGUAAGCUGUAGUUUUGAUGCAUACAGGCCUCUACACAUUUAUCGCCAAUUUCUUUUUUAAAUGUAUUUAUUUCUCCUACAAAUCAAGAAUGACGUUGCUGAUCAUCUGUGUGCAGCUUUAAGUCUUCUGUGUAAGAUCAGAUUGGACAGAUCUGAUUUCAUCAUUAUAAAUAUCUCAUUAUACUGAAGCCAGAGAUGCUGUGACUGCACACAGACCACAGAUAAUGCAAAACUCAAUUACACAUUCAAACAAACAAACGCAUAUAUUCUCACAAACAAAGUGAGCGGGCAGAGUAAUUGGCCUGUGACUGUGCGGUCAGAGCAGUCUGCAUGUGCCGGAGAGCUGCUGUAACGUAAUAAAGAAGGAACACAGGCCGGCAGUGGCCGACACCGCGUGUUCCUGAUGUGCACAGAAAAUAUUAGACGUCUUUGCCGGACAGAGAACCCCUACCAACAGGUUUGGAAUGGGGGCAAAUUUGGGAGGGAAAUGCACAUGGAAAUCAGAAAUAAUAUCCAUUACCCCAGACUCUCAACUAGCAUGUUGAUUGCAAUUUGAUUCAAUUGCAGUUUCUUAUUCGUCUGGGUUUGUAUACUUAUAGUGGAAAUGCACUUCUAAAUGACAUGUAAUGAUGAAACGCAAAAACUAGGCGGCAGUUUGAGAUACGAGAUACAAUCCACACACUCUCACACACACACACAUGUUGCCCGUGCAGCACACAGGUGGGCGGUCACGCCUUCCCCCCCGUGUCAGUUCCCGACAAGCUAAUCUUAUCUAGCAUUGCUACGUAGGAAUAUCCAUCUCAGAUGGGGGUGUGCGUGCGCCGGCAGUGGCACUACACAAACCCACACAGCCAGAGCGUGAGAACAGCCUCCUUUCUCAGAGUUUUAAUGACCCUUUACUGUUACGCGCACGGCUGGGAAACACUGGGCACCCGUGCCUCCGUAUGGACACACAAUACCCAUCAACUCUUGUAAAACAGAACAAUAGCGAGCCCUUAAGAUAAAUGCUGUGAACUCUGAACAUGAGAUCAGCAUCACGAGUGGCCCGCGGGGAAAGGCCGCGCUUUAGGCUUCUAACAAACAAACGUGUGAUCAAUCUCAAACACGUGCAUGCACUGUAGAUUAGCACGGAGUCACACACACACACACACACACACACACACACACACACACACACACACACACACACACACACACACACACACACACACACACACACGAAUGAAUGACCCUGAGGGUAGUUUCCCCAUAAGUAGCAAACCCCCCUCAGGGCAUCAUAUUGCAAUCGUUUAAAGCCUCACUACAGAAACACAACUAGCUACUUAUGGCGUCUACAUAACUUCACCCUCCCAUAUAUAUUUUCCAUGCCUACAUCUGUUACACUCCACGCUCAGAUACCCAACCCCAUUCUUUCGACAUACUCUGGCCCUGUGUCCACGUCUAAUACAUUCUUCGCUGAAAACUUUACUUUUACUCCCACUCUCUGGGCGAAAAUAAAUCAUCUCGUGGCUCAAUUGAAUGCCUUCCCUCUACAUGGCGCUAGUACUAUACUAGUACUAGUGUCAACAGCAUUAACAAUACAUGUUAGGAAGUCUCAGUACAUAGAUGUACAGUACCAAAAUGAGGUGCGGGAUGCAGUCUUAUGGAAAUAAGACAAACUGGUAAGUGGGCGCAUACCUCUGCCUCUGUGUCAGUGUCCGAACUUGGUAAUAUAGUUGAUUCAUUCUCAGCUGUAGAACUCCUUCCUGACUCUAAGAUGGGGUCUGUGUGGGACGCUGUGGCGCCCGUCUGAGGCCCGUCCUGCUGGGGUCUACAGGCCUCCGCCUGGCUGGUCUCUGUCUGUGUAAAUAGGCCCUGUAGCAGUCCGGGCUCCAAUUGGUCCCACGCUUGGUCAGUGGACACGAGAGGAGGAAAGUCCAGAGCAGAACCGUCUGACUCCCAGUCACUGUCCCCUGUCAUGGAGCCAAGGACAAACUCCACCCCGUCCAUCCCAGAGUGGGUCCCUUCGGAACACGAAUCCAAGUCCAGCUCCUGAGUGUCCUCUAAGGCCGAGCAGCCAUCGGAGGGGCCAGGCUGGGGCCGCUCGGGUGCCGCCAUGUAAACAAAGCUGUCGGGGGAGAGGAGGGAUCCCUCCUCCUCCGGGUCCGGGUAGCAGGGGGGUUUAGGGAGAGAACUCUGGGAAAUCAAGUCUUCAAGUGGAGAUGGGGGACAGUUAUUGGGGUACUGAGGAGGCGCAGACACAGCCCAGGUAAACAAAACUAUCUGAUAUCACAAACGCCUCAAAGUCUUUAGCAUCCAAACCAGCACCAUGACAAUCAGGUUUAGAAGGUGGCCGAAGUAAAGAGGGAGCGGAGUCUGAUUUUGGGGUGCUAGCUGUGACUUCUAUUGACAUUUUCAGAUCAGGGUCUUGUCGCACAGGCAUAUCAGGUCCUAAGACCACACCUGUGGGGGCAAGAGCCAUCUCUGAUGCAAAGCAGGUCCCUUGUAGGUCACAUGUCUGUGCCACGGCAGGGUUGCAAGCUUCUGAGCGGACUGGCUCUUCCUCACAGGAGGUUUGAGCAUCAUCAGCUUGUGUACAUUCGUUACCGGCCGUGUCUUCACCCGCGAGCGGCGGCUCAGGGGAGUGAUCGUGAAUCACUCGCUCGCUACUGUCCAAACUUGGCUCAGAUUGGUCAUAUACAUCCCACUCUGUUCCCAACUCCUCUUCCUCCUCAUUCAAUAUUCCCUUGUUCUGCUCGGCCCCCUCCUCCACUCCCCCCCAGUAUGGGUUCACAAGGCUAUAAGACGGAGAGGAAGUUCUCUCCACACACUCCUCGCCAUCACGCUCUGAUGAUGCCCCACUAUCCGGGUCGGCCUCAGUCCUUGCAGGUCUCGCCUGUUCACAGUCUGUCCGAGCAAUGUCACUGAUGCCAGUCCUGUCUGGCUGGGACAUGUGGACGCCACUGGAGUCGGUUUGGUAACUCAUCUCUUCCUCCCCUACCUCUGCUUUUUCCGGAAUAUAAUUAACAACGCAGUCUUCAUCGAUGAAACCAUGUUCUUUUUCACAGUCUUGUGCUCGCACCAAUGCAAAGCUUCUUAUUGGUUCUGUUGGCUCAGAGGGAUUUAAACUAGAGUCUUUUGCACUAGUCUCCGAGUCUGGAGCAAUGCUAUCAGGCUCUAUAGAGUUAACUGCAUCAAGAGGAAGAGUUCUUUCAGAAUGCUCCCAGGAAGUCUUUGCUUCUUCCUCUCUCCCCUCUUCCUCCAAAAAGGGAAGUGUGUAGGGAUCAAGAGGCUCAGGGUCUACACUCAUCUCCACUCCCUCCUCUCCUUCAUCCACACAACACUGCCUUUCUAGCUCCAAGAAGAGGUCAUCUGACUCAGCCCCUGAGCUGGGGCAAGGCGAGACACUGGGGGCUCCAGGGCCUCCAAAUCCUGUGGGGGGAGUCAAUAAGGGCCAAUGUCCAGAAGAGCCCGUUAAAUCCCAUCCCUCUGAUUCCAGCGUUUCUCUAGUCCAUGACUGGUCCAUUAUCUCCCUAUUCUCUAAUUUAAGAACUGCCUCCCACUCUCUUUCCUCUCGCUGAGCUCUCUCCUCCUCUGCUUUAUCCCUUUCCCUUUGCCAUGCCUCCUCCUCUUCACAUAUUGAGCUGCAUUCGUCCUGCUCCUCCUCUUCAAGCUCCUCCAGAAUCCUGCGCUCGUCCUCCUCAAAUUUGAGCUCGGAGGCUGUGCGUUCAAGCUCCCCGCCCUUGUUACACCAGCCGAGCAGCCCCUCAUCACACCCCUCCUGACUGAUGCAUGGGGAGAGGGGCAGACCUCCAUAUAGCAACCCUUCCUCCUCCCUCAGGAAUGGAGAUGGGGGGUCGAGUAGAUAAAGUGCCUCUUCAUCUGUGUUGCUAUCAUCUCGCAAUAGGGGAGGCAAAGGGGGGAGCACGGGGAGGUUGCGUCUCAGGCUGGCCUGGGUCCUUUUCCCCGUUGUUAAACUGCGGGGCCAGGUGCGGGCCUUGGUUGGAGGGCAGAAGACUGGUUUUGGUGGGAUGAGGGGGGCAUUGUCCUCCUGGUCCGGAUCCAAAAGAGGAGAAUCCCCCUCUGAAUCUGAGGCCUUAACUGAUUCAACGGGCUCCUCUGGGAUUUUCCCAAAUCCAGAUUUAGAAGAGCUGCUUGUGCGCCUGUGAUCCUCCCUCCUUUUCUCCACCUGCCUGGAGAUGUUGGCGCUGUGCACUGGUGUAUUUCUAGACACCUGGGGUGCCAGAGUCCGGCUAAAGGUGGGUAACGGUUCUUUGGUAGGCGACGACGCCACAUGAGUCUGACUUUGUUGCGUCUGCAGUACAGGAUGGACCAGUUUCUGCCGGCUCGGAGGACACUGGAGAGGGGCCAACAGGCUCACUGUGGGUGUCAAACAAGGCGAAGACGAGACAGGGGGAGUGUGGGGAGCAGAUGAUGAAGGGGAGGGUGUAUAAGGAGGUAAGCAAGGAGUGGAGGAGGUAGGGGUAGAUGGGGCGAGGUGAGGAGGAGUUGGCUGUAAAGUAGAGAGAGGAAUCCCUGCCAAGGACAGACGUUUCUCUGUCCCUUCAGUGGAGGAGAACUCAAGUCUUUCAGCAAACUCUGGAUAACUUGGUGGCAUAAAGGCUUUCCAAGAGCGACGGUUUGGAUUGUCCCUCUUAUCACCCCCUUGAUGACGUCUCUUGGGCACUGCAGCUACCCCGCCGGAGCCGGAUGCGGAUGGGACAUUUGCCAUACCUGAACCCACAAGGCCAACUGGUGGGGACAUUAUCUGAGGAUCACCAGUUAGCUUCAAGGCGUCAAAGAUGACCCUCUCGUCGAGCCUCUUCGCUCCACCGGCAUGCUCUGCGUUUCUGGAGACAAAAACACUACCCAACUCCGCUCCAAUGGUGCCAUUGCUGGACAGAGUGCUUCCCUCUCCUCUCACCUCCCCACCAGAGCCCAGAGUGCUCCUGGAAGGUUGACACAGUUUGGCACUCUGGUCAAUCUGUUCAUUGAUGCGCAUUGUAUCAUAUAUGGAUCGCUGGGGGACGUAACAAUCCUCUAUGUACGCCUCGUCCUCAUCCCCCUUUCCGAGGCAGCGAGGGUUCUGCCUCAGGCAGUCCAGGCGGCUCAGAGGUUUCCCCAUUUUGUCCUUUUCUUUUCUUUUUGUGUUGAAGGUGCGGCACUGCACUUAGAUAUCUUAUUCAAAAAAGGGACCUUUGUUGAAAAUAAAGUCCCUUUGCUUCAACAGUCAAUAAUCCACAAAAUGACCAAUCCUUUAGGCUUCACAUUGCUAGAAAUGUUUAAAAAUGAUAUCAUCCACAGUCUCUGGUGACCUGGUAAGCGCUGCGUUCUCUUAUGUCACCUCAACAGUUGAGCAAUUCCUUGGUCUUUCUGAGAUGUGGUGCGGCAUCAGCGAGGGAGUGAGAGAGACGGCCCUCUCCCUCAGCACCAUAUUAAUCACCAGCUCUGUUUAUUGAAAAGCAGGUUAGGAAUGAGGCAGAGCUGCAGGGGUGAAGGGAAAGAAACAGUCAUCUCCCCCUCUGAGUAGCACAAAGUCCAAGGUGAGGAUCGUGCAGAUAACAGCCCUUUGUUUGGCUGUCAAAAUCACAGGGCACUGCUCUGCCCUCCAUAUUCAUGUGCAGCAGCCCAUUCCUUGACUCCUUUUCUACUCUCGCUAAGGUCCUACCUCCUUUUCGGUCUCCUCUCCUGCCUGUGGCACAACAGAAGGCAGAGAGCGAUUCAACUUCACCAGUCUGAGAGAGAGGCAGGCACGGAAGUGUAAAAGUCUCCUUUUAAGGUGAGAAAAACCCACUCAGUUAUAUAAAAGAAAGGUUGUGUGGGGUGCAAUGGGACAGGAAAGUGUGAUACUCCAUGGAUUUACUUCCCUUUAAUCCUCCCUUGUAAAAAAAUAUAUAUACUCCUUGCAGGAAAAAUGAAAAAAAAAACGCAGGAUUAUGGAAUCUAGUUAAUGAAAACCAAUGCAAAAUAGAGAAGAUGUCUUUCUGCAGCAAGAAAACCCAACUUGAGAUUUACGUAAAUAGAACUCCCUUUACCAAGUCACUGCCACUUUGAGGUCCGGUAAGUGUUCAAGUCCUCUUUUCUUUUUCUCUUUCGGUCCUCUGCUUCCAUCACAAAAAAGAAUCAGGGCUUUGUGAUUGCAGGGAAAACCCUAUUUGUUUACCCAGCGGCCCCAAAGACAUCUCGCCACCAUCGUUACCGGCAUCAUCAGCAAAAAAGAUCAACUGCAUCAUCCGUGAAUCAGUCUAGUCUCGAGUGAAAUGCUGAAUCCAGAACAAAGAGAAGAAGCAUCCCGCUUUUGCGUGCAGAAAAUCCCUGUCAGUGUUUCAAUUGUUUUCUUUUAUCUUGCUUUCUUUCUCCCGCGUCCUCAGAUCAUCCACAGCUCCAGGGGAGAGGUGGUACAGUAGAUCGAAAGCAGGCAGGAUCUGGGGGUAGAUAGACAGGAGGGGGGGGGGGAGGAAGGGGGCUGGAUCCUGGACCAGCCGGCAGAGCAAAGUGUGCAGAGCGCUGAGUCGUGGGACUGUAUCCAGAGGGCAAAGACCCAGACAGCCUUCCCAGCUCCAGUCUGCGCUCCUUCCCGACAGACGAUCCCAGGACACGCCGCCUUGCCUUCCUCCUGCUGCCGACUGCGUAGUGGCGAUCAAACAAAGUGCCACGCAAUCCCAGUUCCUCUUCCCUCUCGUGUGCGCUCCCAAGGCUUUGCUCGCUCUCUCUCUUUCUUUCUUUCACUCCCAGUCUCUGUUCCCAGGCCACUACACAGCUGAAAUGGUUUGCAGCUGCUAAAAAAAAUCUCUUUUCCGCUCACUCUCGCUCUCUCUCUCACUGCUCACUCCCCCUUUGCCUCCUCUCUUUCGCUCACUCACAUGUCCCUUCUGUCUCUCUCUCUCUCUCUCGUCCACUCACUCACCACCCACCCCUGCUCUCUCGCUGUUUGUGUUUGAAUUCAGCUCCGUUUGUUCUGUUUCCUGCACUGGUAUUAAAACACAGGAAGUGCUCCAAUCACGCUGGUUUCCUCUCGCCCGGACAAAAAAAAAAGAAGAGAAAAACACACGAGACGGAGAGAAGCAGGGUGGUGGAGAGAGAGAGAGAGAGAGACGGAGGAGGAGGGGAGUUAAGCGGCGAUAGAGAGGGAGGCAGGGUGCUAAGAGGGGGGCGUGGAGCCGGAGAGAAAGAGUUGUGCAGCAAAGGACUGUGCUCAUUACUAAAGAAAUGCUGCUGAACAUCAGCCGAUUAUCUCACACAGCAGCGAGCGGCAGCCAAUUAAUAUAACAAUUAAAAAGAGGAAUAUCAAAUGAUCUCAUGUGCUGUAUUUAAACCCAGAUGAGGUCUCCCCCGGGCAGUAUAUCACAUACUAGUCAAUGUACCAGCGUGGAGGGGGGGGGCUGGUGAUGUGAGAUGGCUACAUUCACCACAGCUUUGUUAUUCACUCUUAAUUCUCCAGGGCAGGACCGCCCCCCCACCCCCCUCGCCCCCACAGAGCACAAAAACACCACCCUGUGAGGGCGAAAUGAUACAGAGUCAGAGAAACAGAAAGGGAAGCAGGAAGAGGUAAUGGAGGUGGGAGAGAGGGGGGUGGGAGUGCGAGUCAACGGGAGAGAAAGUCAGUAGUGACUUUUGUUGGGGUUUCUGUCGCCCAAAAGCUAUUGUUCCAGACCAGGAAGUGAGCCAAGUCUGGCUUUAGUCACUUUAUUAUUUCCUCCUUUGUGCAAGUUGGGCCACAAUCCCUCUGUUGGGCUGAAGGAGAGUCGGUAGCAAGGAGAAUGCCACCGUUUAAAGAAUGAAAUGGAAAAGACACACAUACACACACACAAAAGCCUGUGAUAUUCACAGACUCCACUUGUGCAUUCCCGUCUGCGCCUUCAAUGAAACCCAACCCGGCCAGAGAGUGUGUGUGUGUGUGUGUGUGUGUGUCUCGGAGGGAGAGAGAGGGGCCAGGAGGAAAAGUGGACGUGCUCAAAAAAGCAGGAGGAGGUGGUGGAGGAGGUGGAGGAGGGAGGGUGCUGUCUGUUUCUUCAGGGUGCCACCGGCUGCGGCCAGAAGGGGGAUACCAGGGAAUAUGGCAACCUGCAGCCACAUGCUACUUUGUGAUUAUCGUGUCAUCCAGUUGUAAUCUUCACAGUUGUGGCAUUCCUCCACC
Gasterosteus aculeatus aculeatus (three-spined stickleback) is the source of this 15430-nucleotide long non-coding RNA. NCBI's taxonomy places the organism in Eukaryota, Metazoa, Chordata, Actinopteri, Perciformes, Gasterosteidae. The record is from Ensembl.